RNAcentral lists this ribosomal RNA (383 nucleotides) under uncultured eukaryote. RNAcentral's name for it is "partial 18S ribosomal RNA". It matches the Rfam family "Eukaryotic small subunit ribosomal RNA", at positions 592 to 976 of the family's 1831-position model. The record is from RNAcentral.
CAAUAGCGUAUAUUAAAGUUGUUGCAGUUAAAAAGCUCGUAGUUGGAUUUCUGGUGGGAGCGAUCGGUCUGGCGCUUAGCGCGAGUACUUGCAUCGUCUCCGGCCAUCCUUGGGGAAAGUCUGUCUGGCAUUAAGUUGUCGGGCAGAGGAUCCUCAUCGUUUACUGUGAAAAAAUUAGAGUGUUCAAAGCAGGCUUAUGCCGUUGAAUAUAUUAGCAUGGAAUAAUAAGAUAGGACUUUGGUACUAUUUUGUUGGUUUGUGCACCAAAGUAAUGAUUAAUAGGGACAGUUGGGGGUAUUCGUAUUCCGUUGUCAGAGGUGAAAUUCUUGGAUUUACGGAAGACGAACUACUGCGAAAGCAUUUACCAAGGAUGUUUUCAUUAA